GCGGGCACUGCAGCCCCAACCUCGCCGUCCCCCCAUCUCGCCCUCCCACCACCGGCCCGCCCCCAUCGGUUUCCCCCACGGCGCCGUCCCCAUCCUCCUCCCACCACAACGCCGCCCCACCGCGCCCCCCACCCCCACCACUGAGCCGCCACCUUGCGCUCCUCCCGUCACGCCGGCCACUCUGUCCUAUUGUUCCCCGUCGCGCCGGCCACCCCGCCAGCGGCUCCCUGUCGCGUCUUCUCGCCAAGGCCCAGCCACCCCGCCCGCUGCUCGCCGUCGUGUCUCCUUGCCAAGGGCAGGCUACCAUCGUACCACGUUCGCCUCUCUGCUCCCGUCAAGUUCAGGCAUUUGUUCAGGCCCCUGCACCACAAGGAAUUGGUCAUGGAUGGGCUUAACAUUACAGGAAGAUUGAAGUAAUUAAUAAUACCAAGGCUUGAGAAGGCGGGUGAAUACACCGUUCAACCUCGGGAUCAUGCUGGCCAAAGACUUCGCCUAGGCACACAGAAUGGCAGAUCGAUCCGGUCGUUCGUGGCAGCAGUAAGCUCAAUACGCUGGACAGCUGCAGCUUGCUUGGUCUGCCCAUAUGAGCAGGAAAAAUUUGAACCCUCUUAAGACUACCAGAAAUAGCUCAGGGUAUACAGUGAUAUUAAUAAACAUGCGCUAUUUCGUGAGCUUUGGUAGAAGUAAGAUCCUUUUAGAUGAUACACACUUAUUCAUGUAUGACUUGCUGCAUCCACUCCCCACAUUAUAUUUUUCAAUCAGUACACAUUUCAUUUUUAUUAAUUAAGAGACUGUUUUGGAUAAAUAUUGGAUUCAUUAGGUUCAAGAAAUGUUAGCUUAACUACCAGUAUUUUUAUACACUGAGAUUCAUCCUCUAUACAACCUUUAGGCAGAACUGUAAAUGGAUUAAACUACAUAUUUUUGUGAGCAGUUCUAAUCCUUUUGUUGGAUAACCGCUAACAGCCUAACAGUUAUCUAACAGUAAAUCGCAGACUGUUGUUUCAUUAGCAUGCAGGAACAAAUGCUUCAAUCCUCUCAAAUGAUAUAGAGUAGUAUGUGCAUGCAUCCUGCAUGAUGGAAUGCUUAUUGAAGGGUGCCAGCUUGGGAAUAAACUUAAGUAUGAAGCUGAAAGCCAGAGAAGAGUCGAUGGAAACUGUCCUCUGGGUAUCAAAAAAGUAUUGUGCAAUCAGUGCGGAAGAAAGAAACUUCAACAAAAAGACAAUGUGGUAUCGAAGGGGCACAUAUACAUGUGGGUAUUGGUGUUAAAGUAUCUUAGCCGUGUGAAUGUUGAUGAUUUCUGCAUAUGUUAGCAUUUCUGCAUAACUGAAACUUAUGUAGGUCCUACCAGUAAUGUUGAUGGUAUUUUGGUGAACCCUUAGCAAUUUAGAUCUAACUUUGUAAUUGCACAUAUAUAGAUCAUCGCUACAACAUUAUCUUGGACUUUAUGUGUAAAAACUAAAACAACCACUAGCCCUUGCAGGUGGCACAGGUUGAUGACUAGUUACUGAUUAACCCAAAUUCAUCAGCGCCACAAGACCCUGUUAUUGUUUCUGUGCCAGAGGUAAUAUUAUUUUGAAUUCCGAAGUUGCAGCUUUCUAUGAGCGGUGUGCUUAUAUGAUUAUGUACUCUUGUUGUUGAUUUCAAAUUUGAUCACUUUUAAAACAUUGAGUGGACAAGUUAGUGACUACGCUGCUCAUAUUUGUAUAUGGAGAUGCUUAGCAAUUAUUGUGUUUUUCUUCUUCGGAGAUUAUAAAAUUAUUUCCAUUUGGUAUAAUUUUGUGAAUUGAAAGGAGCUCAUUUACCAAAGUUAUUUCAAAUGUUAGCAAGACUUUAGCUAAUAAUCUUUGACAACUCUUAGUUUCUACAUAAUGAACUCGUAUUCUUGUUAUCCUACCAUUUCUCAUUAUGUGAAUACGCUGUGAACUGCAGCCUGCAGGCAUGCUAGAUGCAUAGGCUAUUGCAGUUGUUGCGGUAGUACUGACUACUGUGAUACAGUAAAACUAUCCCAAGAAGCAUUUGCUGGUUUCUGUUCUGAUUACUUCUGGCUUGUCUUCCAGUAAUUAUUAUCUAUUUAUAGGUGAGGGAGACUAAACAUCAGAUGAAUCUAUGUUUUGAAAGACUAGACCACCAGGGGACUAGAAAUCAACGUCUCUCAAGCAGAAGGCAUAGUUCUGCACUCAAGAUUCGAGAGAUGGAUCAUUGAGUUUUAGCUGAAUUCUUUGGUCAAAUCAAGAAGGAAAUGAAGUCCGAAGAUUUUUCUUAGGAAGAAAUAAAGUUUACAUUGCUAGAUUGAAAAAUGCAAUCUUGUAUUUGUCACAAUUGUGUUAUCUAUAGUCAAACUUAUAUAAAUGUUAUGAUAUUGCAUCAAUAAUAUUGUUAUUUAUUUAUUGGAA
Long non-coding RNA from Lolium perenne, 2393 nucleotides. RefSeq lists it as uncharacterized. NCBI's taxonomy places the organism in Eukaryota, Viridiplantae, Streptophyta, Magnoliopsida, Poales, Poaceae. The record is from RefSeq and is a predicted model, not a curated record.